GGGGAAGCCGGUGCGAAUCCGGCGCUGACCCGCAACCGUGAGCCGUUCCGCGAGGACGGUGAGCCGGAAUGCCC
This 74-nucleotide non-coding RNA is filed under the name Streptomyces sp. The record is from RNAcentral. Lineage: Bacteria; Bacillati; Actinomycetota; Actinomycetes; Kitasatosporales; Streptomycetaceae. RNAcentral also lists the same sequence under 1 other name.